AGUGAACGCUGGCGGUAGGCCUAACACAUGCAAGUCGAACGGCAGCACAGUAAGAGCUUGCUCUUACGGGUGGCGAGUGGCGGACGGGUGAGGAAUACAUCGGAAUCUACUUUUUCGUGGGGGAUAACGUAGGGAAACUUAUGCUAAUACCGCAUACGACCUACGGGUGAAAGCAGGGGAUCUUCGGACCUUGCGCGAUUGAAUGAGCCGAUGUCGGAUUAGCUAGUUGGCGGGGUAAAGGCCCACCAAGGCGACGAUCCGUAGCUGGUCUGAGAGGAUGAUCAGCCACACUGGAACUGAGACACGGUCCAGACUCCUACGGGAGGCAGCAGUGGUGAAUAUUGGACAAUGGGCGCAAGCCUGAUCCAGCCAUACCGCGUGGGUGAAGAAGGCCUUCGGGUUGUAAAGCCCUUUUGUUGGGAAAGAAAAGCAGCAGGUUAAUACCCCGCUGUUCUGACGGUACCCAAAGAAUAAGCACCGGCUAACUUCGUG
This 492-nucleotide ribosomal RNA is filed under the name uncultured bacterium. RNAcentral's name for it is "partial 16S ribosomal RNA". It matches the Rfam family "Bacterial small subunit ribosomal RNA", at positions 29 to 507 of the family's 1533-position model. The record is from RNAcentral.